GCAGCAGUGGGGAAUCUUCCGCAAUGGACGAAAGUCUGACGGAGCAACGCCGCGUGUAUGAUGAAGGUCUUCGGAUUGUAAAGUACUGUCUUUGGGGAAGAAUGGUGUGCUUUGGAAUAUAGAGUACAUAUGACGGUACCCAAGGAGGAAGCCCCGGCUAACUACGUGCCAGCAGCCGCGGUAAUACGUAGGGGGCAAGCGUUGUCCGGAAUUAUUGGGCGUAAAGGGCGCGUAGGCGGAUAGUUAAGUCCGGUGUGAAAGAUCAGGGCUCAACCCUGAGAGUGCAUCGGAAACUGGUUAUCUUGAGGACAGGAGAGGAAAGUGGAAUUCCUAGUGUAGCGGUGAAAUGCGUAGAUAUUAGGAGGAACACCAGUGGCGAAGGCGACUUUCUGGACUGUAACUGACGCUGAGGCGCGAAAGCGUGGGGAGCAAACAGGAUUAGAUACCCUGGUAGUCCACGCUGUAAACGAUGAGUGCUAGGUGUAGAGGGUAUCGACCCCUUCUGUGCCGCAGUUAACACAAUAAGCACUCCGCCUG
RNAcentral lists this ribosomal RNA (537 nucleotides) under uncultured bacterium. RNAcentral describes it as "bacterial SSU rRNA". It matches the Rfam family "Bacterial small subunit ribosomal RNA", at positions 348 to 875 of the family's 1533-position model. The record is from RNAcentral.